Molecule: ribosomal RNA, 502 nt
Filed under: uncultured bacterium
Lineage: Bacteria
Description: partial 16S ribosomal RNA
Rfam family: Bacterial small subunit ribosomal RNA
Source: RNAcentral
GACGAACGCUGGCGGCGUGCUUAACACAUGCAAGUCGAACGGUGAAGGGGCCUGCUUUUGUGGGCCCUGGAUGAGUGGCGAACGGGUGAGUAACACGUGAGUAACCUGCCCCCUUCUUCUGGAUAACCGCAUGAAAGUGUGGCUAAUACGGGAUAUUCUGGGUCUGUCGCAUGAUGGGUCUGGGAAAGAUUGCGCCUUUGGGUGUUUUUGGUGGGGGAUGGGCUCGCGGCCUAUCAGCUUGUUGGUGGGGUGAUGGCCUACCAAGGCGGUGACGGGUAGCCGGCCUGAGAGGGUGGACGGUCACACUGGGACUGAGACACGGCCCAGACUCCUACGGGAGGCAGCAGUGGGUAAUAUUGCACAAUGGGCGCAAGCCUGAUGCAGCGACGCCGCGUGAGGGAUGGAGGCCUUCGGGUUGUAAACCUCUUUCGCCAGUGAAGCAGGCCUGCUCCGUGUGGGUGGGUUGACGGUAGCUGGAUAAGAAGCGCCGGCUAACUACGUG